Molecule: long non-coding RNA, 743 nt
Organism: Oncorhynchus masou masou (cherry salmon)
Lineage: Eukaryota; Metazoa; Chordata; Actinopteri; Salmoniformes; Salmonidae
Exons: 4
Source: RefSeq, a predicted model, not a curated record
GUUUAGCAGCUAGCGUUAGCGACAUAGCUACCAUUUGAAGAUGUGUGUGUUUUUCUCUGUUAGCCGUGUGCUGUGUCUACUGGCGCUGACCAUGGCCAUCCUCUCCUCUACAUUGGAAGUGCGUUCCCAGGGAAUGAGGCCUCUAAAUUGCUGUUUGAAGACAUCCAAAAAACGUCCAGCAGAACCAAUCACACUGUGUCUUAUUCAGAUGCCCCGUGGGAAAUGUAACCUCAAAGCAUACAUUUUCACCAGUGGGGAGCAGUGGAAGUGCAUCAACCCCAAAGCCAGAUGGCUCCCUGCUGAGCUAGCAUCACUGGAACAGAGAGGAAUACAGUGUGACCCACUGAUUAAAUACCCAUCAGGCCAUGAUCCUAGAUCAUCAUCAUCGUCAGCAGCAGGUUCAGCAGCCUCUCUCAAGCAGGAACUACAGAACUAAGAUCUCUCUCAAGCAGGAACUACAGAACUAAGAUCUCUCUCAAGCAGGGACUACAGAACUAAGAUCUCUCUCAAGCAGGAACUACAGAACUAAGAUAUCUCUCAACCAGGAACUACAGAACUAAGAUCUCUCUCAACCAGGGACUACAGAACUAAGAUAAUAAGAAGACAGUGAAAAUGAAGAUUAUGAUUUGUGUGAUUUAAGUAUUGCAAGCUCUCUUUAUCAGAUUAUUUAUGUAUUUAUUUAUUUAUUUAUUUCAACCUCAUCCCGGCAUUAAUUUAUUCUACUCAAUUCAUUAAGGUGUUUU